AUGUUUGAUUCAGGAGAGGAUGACUGGAAGGAAACUUGGGAAGGAACCAGGCGUAGUGGAUUGUGGUAUAUGGAUCGUGAUGUGUCUAGGUCUGGUGCUAGUCCUAUUUUGGCUGUACUAGUUGGAGUAAGUGAGACAAUGGCGAUGAUCCAUCACUGUCGCAUGGGGCAUAUGGCUUUUGAUAAGAUGAGUAAGAUGUUUCCUGAUGUAAUGCAUGGAGUAGACAAGAGUAAGCUUGUGUGUGAUGCAUGUGAAUAUGCAAAGCACACAAGAAUCUCAUAUUUGAGUAAGGGGCUAAGGAGUAUAUCCCCGUUUAUGCUGAUUCACUCUGAUGUGUGGACAUGUCAUGUUGUUUCUGUUAGUGGAAUGAAAUAUUUUGUGACAUUUAUAGACUGCCACACUCGCAUGACUUGGGUGUACCUCAUGCGACAUAAAGAUGAGGUAUUCCAAUGUUUUCAGGAGUUUUAUGCCUAUGUGCGAAACCAAUUCAAUGUGCAGGUGCAGGUGAUCAGAUCUGACAAUGGAACUGAAUAUGUAAACAAGCAAUUUGGAGGUUUCCUGUCAGCACAAGGCAUAAUGCACCAAACAUCAUGUCCAGAUACCCCUGCUCAGAAUGGUGUUGCAGAAAGGAAAAACCGACACAUUUUAGAAGUGGCUCGAUCACUUAUGUUCACCACGAAUGUGCCAAAAUUCUUGUGGAGUGAAGCUGUCAUGACUGCAAUGUUCCCGAUCAACCGGAUGCCUUAA
RNAcentral lists this ribosomal RNA (747 nucleotides) under Triticum aestivum (bread wheat). RNAcentral describes it as "partial small subunit ribosomal RNA". The record is from RNAcentral. Lineage: Eukaryota; Viridiplantae; Streptophyta; Magnoliopsida; Poales; Poaceae.